UGGGGAAUUUUGGACAAUGGGCGCAAGCCUGAUCCAGCCAUGCCGCGUGCGGGAAGAAGGCCUUCGGGUUGUAAACCGCUUUUGUCAGGGAAGAAAUCUUCUGAGUUAAUACCUCGGGAGGAUGACGGUACCUGAAGAAUAAGCACCGGCUAACUACGUGCCAGCAGCCGCGGUAAUACGUAGGGUGCAAGCGUUAAUCGGAAUUACUGGGCGUAAAGCGUGCGCAAGGCGGUUUUGUAAGACAGAGGUGAAAUCCCCGGGCUCAACCUGGGAACUGCCUUUGUGACUGCAAGGCUUGAGUGCGGCAGAGGGGGAUGGAAUUCCGCGUGUAGCAGUGAAAUUGCGUAGAUAUGCGGAGGAAACACCGAUGGCGAAGGCAAAUCCCCCUGGGCCUGCACUGACGCUCAUGCACGAAAGCGUGGGGAGCAAAACAGGAUUAGAUACCCUGGUAGUCACGCCCUAAAACGAUGUCAAC
RNAcentral lists this ribosomal RNA (475 nucleotides) under uncultured bacterium. RNAcentral describes it as "partial 16S ribosomal RNA". It matches the Rfam family "Bacterial small subunit ribosomal RNA", at positions 355 to 816 of the family's 1533-position model. The record is from RNAcentral.